RNAcentral lists this long non-coding RNA (1152 nucleotides) under Equus caballus (horse). Its description in RNAcentral is "lncRNA (ENSECAG00000058193.1)". Lineage: Eukaryota; Metazoa; Chordata; Mammalia; Perissodactyla; Equidae. The record is from RNAcentral.
CACACAUUUCACAUACACAUUUCAGGAUGUUGACAUGGGCCACUUCUUGCUGAAGUGUCAAGUGAGGGGCCAAAGCAAUAGAUUCAGGUGCCAGCAUGUUUAUGAAGCAAAUUCUCCCACGGGCAUAACUUACCAAAGGAAUGUGAGCAAACUAGUUCCAAGACUCGUUGACCCCUUCAGCCAGACGAGGUUACCAAAUGGUGUAAAAGUGUGAGCAGAGAGAGGAUUUGGGAAAGGUUUCUUUGGAGGGAGCUGUUGCUGUCCAAGCAAAGGAGGCAUCACAGAGGAUGCUCUCUGCUUCCACUCUAGUCUAACGGUGGUGAGAUCUUCCAUGGGACCGUUCACAGAGGUUGAAAUGUGUUCCAUGCAUAGGCUGGUGCCUAAUGCCCACCUGAGAGGGUGAAAGCAACCUGUGGCCACAAAAGAGAAGCGGCUGCCUUGGGAUGGAUGAGCACUGCUAGCGUUUGUCAAAGGAAGCAAGAGCUCCAGUGAUGACCUCACCCCUGCUUUUCCAAGACAAACCAAACCUUGUGCCUGCACCAGGUUCUUUGUACCUGUUCAUCCUCAUGUGAGAAAUGGAAGACUUAGAAUUGAGAAUAAAGAUAAUGGAGUAAAGGAGGAAGCGGAGGAUCAAGGCUGCCCCAGGGAGAGAAGCCCAAGGCCUUCUGGCCUACCUGCCAUCUAUACCAGCCUCCAGGAAGUAUAGGACGUCCUGACCUGAUUCAUAUCUAAAGUUGUACAACCACACGAUAACCAGGCCCCACCUGCCCUGACACCAUUUUAAGGACUUUUUUACAUGAUCUUUCCUUUGUUUUGUAAGAAAAUAACUCACAUAUCUGUGCCUUAUAAAUUUAACCCUACUGCUAACCCAUUGCAGCUCUUCACUGCCCACGGGUCCUGUCCCCAUGCUGCAGCCCUCCACUGCCCACGGGUCCUGUCCCCAUGCUAUUCUCUGAAUAAAGGAGCACUACUACCAGACCUUGAGAGUCCACAAAAUCUUUCUUUCUACUCCUCACCUCCCUGAGCCCACAUCAAUGAUAACUGAUUAAUUUGAACUUACUGUAGUAAUCGUAGUAAGCAGAGGAAUAAGAGGGUAUGCUUGCUGUUUACAAUGCUUGUAAUAUUUCGGAAAGUUUAGCAUAUUAGCAAAUC